This is a long non-coding RNA of Triticum dicoccoides, 731 nucleotides long. RefSeq lists it as uncharacterized. NCBI's taxonomy places the organism in Eukaryota, Viridiplantae, Streptophyta, Magnoliopsida, Poales, Poaceae. The transcript is spliced from 2 exons. The record is from RefSeq and is a predicted model, not a curated record.
UCCUGGUUCUCUGCUUCUUUUGGUAAUGCUGAAGGGAAGAGCCUGGGGCCAGUCCCGGGCUCCUGUUUGGGAUUUCCCUUGGAUCUGAAAGGAAGGUUCGGGUGGCGCGGUGCCGACGCUGGGAGUGGCAACCCCGACGCGCUUUCCGUCAGGUCGCCCGUGGCGUUGACAUCAGUGGGAGGGGAUGCGGCCAACACCACGCCACAACUCGAGAUGGGCACGUGUCUUCUAACGUCAAGGCUCCCGGGGGCGACCAUGCUCUCUGUGGGAGGGUUUAGAGAGCAUGGUGCCCGGCAUGGUGGUCGCGCCAAGGUCUUCGGGUGGUAGUGAUGCGGACGGCGCCGACAACCCACGACGCGUUAAGAACGGGGACGACCGUUUCGACGAGUCGUGUUUGCCGGUGACUCCGUGCCACCCAUCUGGUCUUACGGCAGCGUCACCAUCCACGUCUGCCCUCCAGUUUCUUCCUCCAUGUCGGGGAGCGGCGCCGCCCUGAUCCUAGGGAGGCGCCGAAUCCCAGCUGUGCGCACCUCCGGCCCCUUCGACCUCUUCUUGCAGGAGAUGGACAGGGGCAAAGGCGUAACGGAGCACUUAUCUUUUUUCAAUCUUAAACUAGCCGGUAAUUGCCAAAUUUUAAUUCAAAUAAUGUAAUCUCUCAAGUCCAUCUUUGUAUUCUAUAAUGCUUGUACUUGUAACUUCAUAUGAAUGAAAAAGAUGAAUCUUGUCGGGAA